UGGUUUGUUUGAUGCGAUGUUUUUAGUGAACUCAAAUGUUUUUAUUUCAUUUUGGUUAGUUGCUCAAUUUGUUGUUUCUCUUGUAAAGGGAUUAUGACCGAUUUGCUGAGGACUGUUUUGGAGACUAACUUACCUAAAGUAAAGGAAGGCUAGAAGCCGGAGUUCACCUUAGGUGUAGUAGAAUCUAAGAUUGGUUCCCAUAUACAUGAAGCUACUAAGUAACCCUAGUUGUUAACAUUAUUAGUAUUUUUAUGCUUCAGAAAAUGUUGAUGAUUUUUUUUAAGGAACUUUGUUUUUAUGUAUGUUUAGUUUGGUUGAUACUAUGUUUUUAGUGAACUCACUCAAAUGCUGUUAUUUUGCUGUUAUUUCAUUUUGGUUAGUUGCUCAAUUUGUUAUUUGUUUAUUGUUGUGAAGGGAUUAUGACUGAUGAGCUGAGGACUGUUUUGGAGACUAACUUACCUAAAGUAAAGGAAGGGAAGAAGCCAAAGUUCACCUUAGGUGUAUUAGAAUCUAAGAUUGGUUCGCAUAUACAUGAAGCUACAAAGAUUCCAGUCCAAA
RNAcentral lists this long non-coding RNA (558 nucleotides) under Trifolium pratense (red clover). RNAcentral's name for it is "long non-coding RNA (TPRA_LNC002675)". The record is from RNAcentral. Lineage: Eukaryota; Viridiplantae; Streptophyta; Magnoliopsida; Fabales; Fabaceae.